ACUCCUACGGGAGGCAGCAGUAGGGAAUCUUCCACAAUGGACGAAAGUCUGAUGGAGCAACGCCGCGUGAACGAUGAAGGCCUCGGUCGUAAAGUUCUGUUGUAAGGGAAGAACAAGUGCCGCAGGCAAUGGCGGCACCUUGACGGUACCUUGCGAGAAAGCCACGGCUAACUACGUGCCAGCAGCCGCGGUAAUACGUAGGUGGCAAGCGUUGUCCGGAAUUAUUGGGCGUAAAGCGCGCGCAGGCGGCCUCUUAAGUCUGAUGUGAAAGCCCCGGCUCAACCGGGGGAGGGCCAUUGGAAACUGGGAGGCUUGAGUAUAGGAGAGAAGAGUGGAAUUCCACGUGUAGCGGUGAAAUGCGUAGAGAUGUGGAGGAACACCAGUGGCGAAGGCGACUCUUUGGCCUAUAACUGACGCUGAGGCGCGAAAGCGUGGGGAGC
Molecule: ribosomal RNA, 440 nt
Filed under: uncultured bacterium
Lineage: Bacteria
Description: bacterial SSU rRNA
Rfam family: Bacterial small subunit ribosomal RNA
Source: RNAcentral